GUUGUAUGGUUAAGUGACUAAGCGUACACGGUGGAUGCCUUGGCAGUCAGAGGCGAUGAAGGACGUAGUAACUUGCGAUAAGCGUAGAUGAGGCAGUAACAGCCACUUGAGUCUACGAUUUCCGAAUGGGGAAACCCACUGGCAUAAGCCAGUAUCAUUGAGUGAAUACAUAGCUCAAUGAAGCGAACCGGGAGAACUGAAACAUCUAAGUACCCCGAGGAAAAGAAAUCAACCGAGAUUCCGAAAGUAGCGGCGAGCGAAAUUGGAUUAGCCCUUAAGCUUUACAUGUGUUAGACGAACGGUCUGGAAAGUCCGACGAUACAGGGUGAUAGUCCCGUAGUUGACGAUGCAUGUUCAGUGAAAUCGAGUAGGGCGGGACACGUGUUAUCCUGUCUGAAUAUGGGGGGACCAUCCUCCAAGGCUAAAUACUCCUGACUGACCGAUAGUGAACCAGUACCGUGAGGGAAAGGCGAAAAGAACCCCUGUGAGGGGAGUGAAAUAGAACCUGAAACCGUGUACGUACAAGCAGUAGGAGCACCUUCGUGGUGUGACUGCGUACCUUUUGUAUAAUGGGUCAGCGACUUAUAUUCAGUGGCAAGGUUAACCAUCUAGGGGAGCCGUAGGGAAACCGAGUCUUAACUGGGCGCCAUAGUCUCUGGAUAUAGACCCGAAACCGAGUGAUCUAGCCAUGGGCAGGUUGAAGGUUGAGUAACAUCAACUGGAGGACCGAACCGACUAAUGUUGAAAAAUUAGCGGAUGACUUGUGGCUAGGGGUGAAAGGCCAAUCAAACUCGGAGAUAGCUGGUUCUCCCCGAAAGCUAUUUAGGUAGCGCCUCGGACGAAUACUACUGGGGGUAGAGCACUGUUAAGGCUAGGGGGUCAUCCCGACUUACCAACCCUUUGCAAACUCCGAAUACCAGUAAGUACUAUCCGGGAGACACACGGCGGGUGCUAACGUCCGUCGUGGAGAGGGAAACAACCCAGACCGCCAGCUAAGGUCCCAAAUUACAGCUAAGUGGGAAACGAUGUGGGAAGGCUUAGACAGCUAGGAUGUUGGCUUAGAAGCAGCCAUCAUUUAAAGAAAGCGUAAUAGCUCACUAGUCGAGUCGGCCUGCGCGGAAGAUGUAACGGGGCUAAGUUGUAAACCGAAGCUGCGGCAAUGUUCUAUGAACAUUGGGUAGGGGAGCGUUCUGUAAGCCGUUGAAGGUGUGUUGUAAAGCAUGCUGGAGGUAUCAGAAGUGCGAAUGCUGACAUGAGUAACGACAAGGGGGGUGAAAAACCUCCCCGCCGGAAGACCAAGGGUUCCUGUCCAACGUUAAUCGGGGCAGGGUAAGUCGACCCCUAAGGCGAGGCUGAAAAGCGUAGUCGAUGGGAAACGGGUUAAUAUUCCCGUACUUCUUACAAUUGCGAUGGGGGGACGGAGAAGGCUAGGUGGGCCUGGCGACGGUUGUCCAGGUUCA
Molecule: ribosomal RNA, 1460 nt
Filed under: Vibrio vulnificus
Lineage: Bacteria; Pseudomonadati; Pseudomonadota; Gammaproteobacteria; Vibrionales; Vibrionaceae
Description: partial 23S ribosomal RNA
Rfam family: Bacterial large subunit ribosomal RNA
Source: RNAcentral